Molecule: long non-coding RNA, 360 nt
Organism: Oryza brachyantha (malo sina)
Lineage: Eukaryota; Viridiplantae; Streptophyta; Magnoliopsida; Poales; Poaceae
Exons: 3
Source: RefSeq, a predicted model, not a curated record
GCCAUCCCUACACCGGAGAAUGCAACCGGAGAAUGCAAGGAAGGGUGGAGGAGGGGAGUCUGCUCCGGCGACGGUGGCGGCGGCUCCCCCAGGGAUUCCCUCGGAUGGGAGAACGCCGCGUCCUCUGUUUAGCGUCCAGCAUUCAGGGCCAGCCAAGCAUGCAUAAAUAGUGUAAUCACCAGCAAGAAGUCAAGGCACACAUAGCAGGUGUAAGGUAACAUGGCCAAAUGGAUAUACAAACAACUAGGCAGUUGUGAACCACCACAAGAUGUUUGCUUUCAAAUGUUCAUGUCUAAAGAAAUAUAUUUUGCCAUAUGGCAUAUCAGUAGAUCAAAAAUCAUUUAAAGUGUAAAAAUAAUA